This 253-nucleotide ribosomal RNA is filed under the name uncultured bacterium. RNAcentral's name for it is "partial 16S ribosomal RNA". It matches the Rfam family "Bacterial small subunit ribosomal RNA", at positions 524 to 776 of the family's 1533-position model. The record is from RNAcentral.
UACAUAGGAGGCAAGCGUUGUCCGGAAUCACUGGGCGUAAAGGGCGCGUAGGCGGCCUGCUAAGUAGAGGGUGAAAUCCUGCGGCUCAACCGCAGGGCUGCCUUCUAAACUGUCAGGCUGGAGCACGGUAGAGGCAGAUGGAAUUCCCGGUGUAGCGGUGGAAUGCGUAGAGAUCGGGAAGAACACCAGUGGCGAAGGCGGUCUGCUGGGCCGUUGCUGACGCUGAGGCGCGACAGCGUGGGGAGCAAACAGG